GGUGAGAUGGCUUAGUGGUUAAGAGCACUGGCUGCUCUUCCAGAGGACCUGGGUUCAAUUCCUAGCACCC
This 70-nucleotide transfer RNA is filed under the name Neotoma lepida (desert woodrat). It matches the Rfam family "tRNA". From Rfam's summary of the family: Transfer RNA (tRNA) molecules are approximately 80 nucleotides in length. Their secondary structure includes four short double-helical elements and three loops (D, anti-codon, and T loops). Lineage: Eukaryota; Metazoa; Chordata; Mammalia; Rodentia; Cricetidae. The record is from Rfam by way of RNAcentral.